GACGAACGCUGGCGGCGUGCUUAACACAUGCAAGUCGAACGAAGAGCGAUGGAAGCUUGCUUCUAUCAAUCUUAGUGGCGAACGGGUGAGUAACGCGUAAUCAACCUGCCCUUCAGAGGGGGACAACAGUUGGAAACGACUGCUAAUACCGCAUACGAUCUAACCUCGGCAUCGAGGAAAGAUGAAAGGUGGCCUCUAUGUAUAAGCUAUCACUGAAGGAGGGGAUUGCGUCUGAUUAGCUAGUUGGAGGGGUAACGGCCCACCAAGGCGAUGAUCAGUAGCCGGUCUGAGAGGAUGAACGGCCACAUUGGGACUGAGACACGGCCCAGACUCCUACGGGAGGCAGCAGUGGGGAAUCUUCCGAAAUGGACGAAAGUCUGACGGAGCAACGCCGCGUGAGUGAUGACGGCCGUCGGGUUGUAAAGCUCUGUUAAUCGGGACGAAAGGCCUUCUUGCGAAUAGUGAGAAGGAUUGACGGUACCGGAAUAGAAAGCCACGGCUAACUACGUG
Molecule: ribosomal RNA, 510 nt
Filed under: uncultured bacterium
Lineage: Bacteria
Description: partial 16S ribosomal RNA
Rfam family: Bacterial small subunit ribosomal RNA
Source: RNAcentral